This 74-nucleotide transfer RNA is filed under the name Schizocladia ischiensis. RNAcentral's name for it is "tRNA-Pro". It matches the Rfam family "tRNA". Rfam says of the family: Transfer RNA (tRNA) molecules are approximately 80 nucleotides in length. Their secondary structure includes four short double-helical elements and three loops (D, anti-codon, and T loops). Further hydrogen bonds mediate the characteristic L-shaped molecular structure. tRNAs have two regions of fundamental functional importance: the anti-codon, which is responsible for specific mRNA codon recognition, and the 3' end, to which the tRNAs corresponding amino acid is attached (by aminoacyl-tRNA synthetases). tRNAs cope with the degeneracy of the genetic code in two manners: having more than one tRNA (with a specific anti-codon) for a particular amino acid; and 'wobble' base-pairing, i.e. permitting non-standard base-pairing at the 3rd anti-codon position. The record is from RNAcentral. Lineage: Eukaryota; Schizocladiophyceae; Schizocladiales; Schizocladiaceae.
CGGAAUGUAGCCUAGUCUGGUAGGGCGUCUGCUUUGGGAGCAGAAGAUCGUGUGUUCGAAUCACACCAUUCCGA